Molecule: long non-coding RNA, 469 nt
Filed under: Manihot esculenta (cassava)
Lineage: Eukaryota; Viridiplantae; Streptophyta; Magnoliopsida; Malpighiales; Euphorbiaceae
Description: long non-coding RNA (MESC_LNC007723)
Source: RNAcentral
UCUGGCCAGCCACCUAUAAAAGGGCCAAGGGUCGGUGGAAGGAGGUUAUUUCUCCUCCACUUGCAGCCAGAGGUGAGUUUCAGCCUCUCCUACGUUGACUUUCAUGUUUUCCAUGAUUUUCAUCAAAUCUUUCAAGAGUUUUAAGAGUUUUGGUGACUUAUGAAGGUUUUGAGCAAAAGAACCAAGUUUUGAAGCUUGGAGCUUUGGAAGAGCUUUUCUUCAUAUCUCCACGUUAGGAUUCUUCAUCCUCAAGUUCUUUAAGAGGUAAGUGAAGAUCCUGAGCUUCUUUGAUGAUUUUGAAGGUUUUAUGAAGUUUGUAUGGGUAGUAUGCAUGUUUAGGUUUAGGUGAGGUUUUUGGUGAUUUGUGGUGUUCCAGCAUGUUUAAGUGUUAUGUGCUAUGUUUGUUUGGGGUUUUAGGGUAGGUUUAGACCCCUUUGUGCAUAUAUAUGUGUAUAUGCUAGUUGGGAGU